This 212-nucleotide ribosomal RNA is filed under the name uncultured bacterium. RNAcentral describes it as "partial 16S ribosomal RNA". It matches the Rfam family "Bacterial small subunit ribosomal RNA", at positions 135 to 334 of the family's 1533-position model. The record is from RNAcentral.
GGGGGGGGAUACCACCGGGAAACCGGUGCUAAGACCGCAUACGUCCGGUGGCAUAGCGGCCAUCGGGGAAAUGUCUUCUUGCAAAAGGGGACAGCCAUGGGAGGGCCUUGCGGCGGAUUAGGUAGUUGGGGGGGGUAGUGGCCCACCAAGCCGACGAUCCGUAGCUGGUCUGAGAGGACGACCAGCCACACCGGGACUGAGACACGGCCCGG